UCCUCAUCUUCAAUUUCUAGCUCUUCCUCAUCAUCUGUAUCCAUCUCUUCAUCACUUUCUUGUUCAUUCUCUUCUUCAUUUUCCAAUUUUUUAGCAUCGACGUUACCGGAUUCAUUGUAAAGGAGUCCACCAGUACACAGGCCCUCUUCAAUCUUGACAAGUUGAAGAGUCAUUCUAGGUCCAAUCUCUUGAAGUUUGACAGCACUUUUCGUAGAAGCUCGAUUAACUCUUCCAAUAUCAGAUGACAGAUUUACGGUUGCUGCCUCAUCAUCCCCUUCACUUUCAGAUCCAUAACCAGCUUUGGUUACAAAGUCACUAACAUCUUGAAGACUUCUUAGAUCAGGCACUUGAUGGUUUUGCACAAAUUUCCUGAUUCGGCGAGAAACACCCACUGGCUGUAAUCUGAUAGAGUAGUGUCGGAAAUCAAUAAGCUUUGUUUCUUUAUCAUAAUUAAGUAAUACAAUCCUUUGGCAUGAAGACAGCUUGACUGUAUUUAUGUCAAUGGCAGGAAAAAUGUUCUGGAAUAUAAACGUAGUGAGCUUUAGGUGUUCUUCCCCUGUACCAAAACCAGAUAGCACAAUCAACGGUGGGUUUUUGAAAAGAUCCGGAGGGCAUCUUGGACGGAGUUGAGAUUGAGCAAUGUCAGCAGCCAACGAAUAUUUAUGUAUUUUAAACGUUAAAGUUGGACCGUGCUUCAUUUUGGCAACCUUCAAGUAUGCUGCAGAGUCUGUUUUAGACAAUAUGAGGAAAUGUGUGACCAUCAUACCAUUAGCAAGACUCACGAAAUCUUUGAGUUUAUUUCGUUUUGAUUCCUUGAGCUUGAGAGCAGUAUAAGGAAGCAUCAAUUUUCGCAAGUCCAUUUGCAACUGUUUGAGAGGACCAGAAAUCUUCCCCCUUGAAAACACCAAACUCUUUGGAAUCUUGUCUCCAGUAACAUGGUCGACCGUUGGCGUCUUCUUCGCAAUUUGCUUGACAAACGGCUUCCUGUUUUUACUCUUGAAACGACCCAUAAUCUACUAAUACUCCAAGUUUACUCUGAAUCCUGCAAAUUGCGAGCUAUAAAUUUAAGGGUUUUUUAGAAAUUCCCCAAAUAUAUGAUUUUG
This 1103-nucleotide unclassified non-coding RNA is filed under the name Hevea brasiliensis (rubber tree). The record is from RNAcentral. Lineage: Eukaryota; Viridiplantae; Streptophyta; Magnoliopsida; Malpighiales; Euphorbiaceae.